CCCUUAGAUGUUCUGGGCAGCACGCGCGCUACACUGAUGCAUUCAACGAGUCUAAAACCUGCUCUGAUAGGGGUGGGUAAUCUUUUGAAUGUGCAUCGUGAUUGGGAUAGAUGAUUGCAAUUUUUCAUCUUCAACGAGGAAUGCCUAGUAAACGCAAGUCAUCAGCUUGCAUUGAUUACGUCCCUGCCCUUUGUACACACCGCCCGUCGCUCCUACCGAUUGAAUGAUCCGAUGAAUAUCAUGGAUUGAGGAUGUAAGCAGGUUCGCCUGUCUUCAUCUUCGAGAAGUGAAGUAAAUCUUAUCAUUUAGAGGAAGGAGAAGUCGUAACA
This 329-nucleotide ribosomal RNA is filed under the name uncultured eukaryote. Its description in RNAcentral is "partial 18S ribosomal RNA". It matches the Rfam family "Eukaryotic small subunit ribosomal RNA", at positions 1470 to 1796 of the family's 1831-position model. The record is from RNAcentral.